Molecule: ribosomal RNA, 301 nt
Filed under: uncultured bacterium
Lineage: Bacteria
Description: partial 16S ribosomal RNA
Rfam family: Bacterial small subunit ribosomal RNA
Source: RNAcentral
CAGUAGCCCGGUAACACGAAGGGUGCAAGCGUUAAUCGGAAUUACUGGGCGUAAAGCGUGCGUAGGCGGUUUGUUAAGUCUGCUGUGAAAUCCCCGGGCUCAACCUGGGAAUGGCAGUGGAUACUGGCAAGCUAGAGUGUGUCAGAGGAUGGUGGAAUUCCCGGUGUAGCGGUGAAAUGCGUAGAGAUCGGGAGGAACAUCAGUGGCGAAGGCGGCCAUCUGGGACAACACUGACGCUGAGGCACGAAAGCGUGGGGAGCAAACAGGAUUAGAUACCCCCGUAGUCCCUGUCUCUUAUACC